GUGGCAAGCGUUGUCCGGAUUUAUUGGGCGUAAAGGGCGCGUAGGUGGGUGCUUAAGUCAGGUGUGAAAACUCUGGGCUCAACCUGGAGACUGCACUUGAAACUGGGUAUCUUGAGGGCAGGAGAGGAAAGUGGAAUUCCUAGUGUAGCGGUGAAAUGCGUAGAUAUUAGGAGGAACACCAGUGGCGAAGGCGACUUUCUGGACUGUACCUGACGCUGAGGCGCGAAAGCGUGGGUAGCGAAC
Molecule: ribosomal RNA, 243 nt
Filed under: uncultured bacterium
Lineage: Bacteria
Description: partial 16S ribosomal RNA
Rfam family: Bacterial small subunit ribosomal RNA
Source: RNAcentral